Molecule: small nucleolar RNA, 132 nt
Filed under: Dasypus novemcinctus (nine-banded armadillo)
Lineage: Eukaryota; Metazoa; Chordata; Mammalia; Cingulata; Dasypodidae
Description: Small nucleolar RNA SNORA31 (ENSDNOG00000031066.1)
Source: RNAcentral
GUGUCUCUGACAGACCUCGAGCUGUUAAUGUCUGCUGCUUAGGUUUCCACUAUAGAGGCAAGAAAAAGAAAGUCCUCACGCUGUUUUGUCGGUCUGGUUAUGGCAGCAAAGGUUGAAUGGAGCAAUACAGGA